AUCUUAAUAAUUUAGUCACACUUUGUGUAUUGGUAUGGAGGAGGUCAUUUCCAUGAAAGAUAUUGUAGAUUGCCAUUUGCUUUCUCAGUUCUUUUCAUCUGAUCCCCAUUUCAUCUUUUCACAUCCUCUCUGUACAUUAGAAUGAUCCAUAUGCUCUUUUAAAAAACUUUUUUUCUGUGGGACUGUGGUUUGAACUCAGGGCUUUGUGCUUGCAAAGCAGGUGCUCUAUUACUUGAGCCACAUCUCCAGUCCAUUUUGCUCUGGUUUUUUUGGAGAUGGGGGUCUCAUGAUCUAAUUUGCCCAGGACUCCAACCUCAAUCUUCCCAAUAUCAGCCUCCCAUAUAGCUAGGAUUACAGGUGUGAACCACUGGUGCCCAGCCCAUAUGCUUUUAAUAAAUAGUAUUGUCUGUGUCCCACUCCAGGUAGUUGGAACAGAGUUUCUGGGGCAAGGGCUAGGACAUGGGUAUUUUUAUAACCACAGUUGAGGUGUUGCUAAUAUAUACCCAAAGUUGAGAACCAUGACUUAGUUUUGGUACUUGUAAGAUCUGAUAGCUUAAGUUUUUGCUCAGUUCAAUAGAUAUUCAUUUCUCCAAAAAGCUACUUACAGAAAUCGUAAUUUAGAACAAAGACUUGUAUACAGUAUCUUCGAUUGUUAAUUGGAUGUCCUUGCUAUUUCAUUACUUAGAAUUGUAUAGUUUUCAGUGUGCUUAUUUUCUCCUAUAUCCAAUGUACUUCCCUUGACAAGUGGAGCUCUCGUAGCAUCUAGCAUAAUACCAUAUAUUUCACAGUGGAUACUCUUUAGAGACUUGGAGCUUUUAACUUUGAAAUUCUCCUUUAUUUUAGUCCUGAAUAGAAUUACCUAUUCUAAAAUAAAUCAACAACACAUAUACUCCAAAAUGGUUGGAUUCUCCAAAAAUCAAGAUCAUGAUCAAAUUAAUGUCAUGUGAUUAUACUACUCAAAAAUGAAAUUCAGCUCAAUGAUACAGAAGUCAGCAAGACAUUAUGGAUUAUUAUAGAAAAAGUUCCAGGU
This 1030-nucleotide long non-coding RNA is filed under the name Castor canadensis (American beaver). RNAcentral's name for it is "lncRNA (ENSCCNG00000002175.1)". The record is from RNAcentral. Lineage: Eukaryota; Metazoa; Chordata; Mammalia; Rodentia; Castoridae.